RNAcentral lists this ribosomal RNA (592 nucleotides) under uncultured Roseateles sp. Its description in RNAcentral is "bacterial SSU rRNA". It matches the Rfam family "Bacterial small subunit ribosomal RNA", at positions 76 to 664 of the family's 1533-position model. Lineage: Bacteria; Pseudomonadati; Pseudomonadota; Betaproteobacteria; Burkholderiales; Sphaerotilaceae. The record is from RNAcentral.
UAACAGGUUAAGCUGACGAGUGGCGAACGGGUGAGUAAUGUAUCGGAACGUGCCCAGUCGUGGGGGAUAACUGCUCGAAAGAGCAGCUAAUACCGCAUACGACCUGAGGGUGAAAGCGGGGGAUCGCAAGACCUCGCGCGAUUGGAGCGGCCGAUAUCAGAUUAGGUAGUUGGUGAGGUAAAGGCUCACCAAGCCGACGAUCUGUAGCUGGUCUGAGAGGACGACCAGCCACACUGGGACUGAGACACGGCCCAGACUCCUACGGGAGGCAGCAGUGGGGAAUUUUGGACAAUGGGCGCAAGCCUGAUCCAGCCAUGCCGCGUGCGGGAAGAAGGCCUUCGGGUUGUAAACCGCUUUUGUCAGGGAAGAAAAGGUUCUGGCUAAUACCUGGGACUCAUGACGGUACCUGAAGAAUAAGCACCGGCUAACUACGUGCCAGCAGCCGCGGUAAUACGUAGGGUGCAAGCGUUAAUCGGAAUUACUGGGCGUAAAGCGUGCGCAGGCGGUUAUGCAAGACAGAGGUGAAAUCCCCGGGCUCAACCUGGGAACUGCCUUUGUGACUGCAUGGCUAGAGUACGGUAGAGGGGGAUGG